AGGUAUCAGAAGUGCGAAUGCUGACAUGAGUAACGACAAUGCGGGUGAAAAACCCGCACGCCGGAAGACCAAGGGUUCCUGCGCAACGCUAAUCGGCGCAGGGUUAGCCGGCCCCUAAGACGAGCCCGAAGGGGGUAGUCGAUGGGAACCACGUAAAUAUUCGUGGGCCUGAAGAUGUGUGACGGAUCGUGGAAGUUGUUUUCUCUUAUUGGAUUGAGAGGGCAGCCAAGCGGUUCCAGGAAAUAGCCUCUUCAUAUAGACCGUACCCGAAACCGACACAGGUGGUCAGGUAGAGUAUACCAAGGCGCUUGAGAGAACUCUGCUGAAGGAACUCGGCAAAUUGCACGCGUAACUUCGGGAUAAGCGUGACCCUUAUGCACGCAAGUGUGUGGGGGUGGCACAGACCAGGGGGUAGCGACUGUUUAUCAAAAACACAGGACUCUGCGAAGCCGUAAGGCGACGUAUAGGGUCUGACGCCUGCCCGGUGCCGGAAGGUUAAAAGGAGAUGUGAGAGCGUCGAAUUGAAGCCCCGGUGAACGGCGGCCGUAACUAUAACGGUCCUAAGGUAGCGAAAUUCCUUGUCGGGUA
Molecule: ribosomal RNA, 588 nt
Filed under: Durinskia baltica
Lineage: Eukaryota; Dinophyceae; Peridiniales; Kryptoperidiniaceae
Description: partial Bacterial large subunit ribosomal RNA
Rfam family: Bacterial large subunit ribosomal RNA
Source: RNAcentral